RNAcentral lists this ribosomal RNA (408 nucleotides) under uncultured bacterium. RNAcentral's name for it is "partial 16S ribosomal RNA". It matches the Rfam family "Bacterial small subunit ribosomal RNA", at positions 29 to 526 of the family's 1533-position model. The record is from RNAcentral.
AGUGAACGCUGGCGGCGUGCCUAAUACAUGCAAGUCGAACGGAGUGGCACACGGGUGAGUAAUAUAUAGCUAAUCUGCCCCUUGCUGGAGGACAACAGUUAGAAAUGACUGCUAAUACUCCAUAGCAAGGGAUGAGACUAUAUCGUAUCAGCUAGUCGGUGGGGUAACGGCCUACGGCGGCUAUGACGCGUAACUGGUCUGAGUGGAUGAGCAGUCACAGUCGAACUGACGCACGGUCCAAACUCCUGCGGCAGGCAGCAGGAGGGUAUAUUGCUCAAUGGGAGACUCCCUGACGCAGGAACGCCGCGUGGAGAAUGACACUUUGCGGUGCGUACACUCCUUUUGUUACGGAGGCGGUACCUAACGAAUAAGCACCGGCUAACUACGUGCCAGCAGCCGCGGUAAUAC